RNAcentral lists this unclassified non-coding RNA (354 nucleotides) under fungal sp. Its description in RNAcentral is "partial internal transcribed spacer region". The stretch from base 1 to 46 matches the Rfam family "Eukaryotic small subunit ribosomal RNA", at positions 1786 to 1831 of the family's 1831-position model. The record is from RNAcentral. Lineage: Eukaryota; Fungi.
AAGUCGUAACAAGGUUUCCGUAGGUGAACCUGCGGAAGGAUCAUUAACACGUAUCCAACGUUAAACCCCCCUGUGAACCUUCAGAAGUCCGUUCUCGUAACACCAGUGCGCCUCAGCAAUCCCGGUAAAUCAUUGUCGACCAGUAUUGAUUCGGGACCUCUGACAAAUGCCUUACGAUCGAGCUGUACAGUGACAUGGCUUCCAGUGAAUGAAAGUGUCACCGGAUAACGCCUCACGAUUGCUGGGUCGACCACCGGCCAGCUUCCAUGUCAUAGCCACUACUUUAUAGUUCGGGCUUGCUAAAUACACGCCCAAAAAAACGAACAACUGUUAACAAUGGAUAUCUUGGUUCUC